UAGCUUUCUGGAUGCUAAUUUCUCUCGCUGUCAGAAAACCCAAAUCUUAUCAAUUGGGUGUGAGAACGUGUUUUCUUUAUGUUGUAUACUUAUAUCUGUGUAUGCUAAUGCAAACUCUGGGUUUAAUGUUUUGCUGUUUUUGAACUGGGGCAGCAACCACCCAGAACACCCUUGUAAUCACUUGGCAACCACUCAGAACACCUUAGCAACCUUAUAGCAACACCCUAGCAACCACUCAGAACAUCUUGACAUCAUGCUGAAAAGUUUUGCAUGGACAAAUACCACUAAUGUACAUAUUUUGUAAUAGUGCAAAACAAUGUAGCAUUAGAAUUGAAUUGCACAUUAUUAUUAUUAUUAUUUUUAUAUAUUAAGUAGAUCAAAUUCUUCACAUUAUAACUUUAAUCUGGUUAACAGCUCCCAUUGUUUUUAAGUGUAGUCUUGUGAGGGGUAGCACUGUCCUUCAAGAUUUAAUCCUGUUAGCCCAGUGCUAAUCCGCACAGAUUGCUGAAGUCCGCUCUGAAUGGUCUCAAUCCCCACGGAAUGCCCAACCACUGCUAAACAUUCAGGAUGUUUAACUGGGUGGUGAAGGUCGUGCCACAUCCUCCCAAUACACAGGAGGAUCUGGGGGAGGAGGCGAUCACUGCGAAUGGAAAAACAUCAACUCGAGAAAAGUUCAAUUCAGCCAAACCAGGUAGAGAGGAAGACCAAUCAUCUCAAACCUCAAAGGACAG
Long non-coding RNA from Cyprinus carpio (common carp), 731 nucleotides. RefSeq lists it as uncharacterized. The record is from RefSeq and is a predicted model, not a curated record. The transcript has 4 exons. Lineage: Eukaryota; Metazoa; Chordata; Actinopteri; Cypriniformes; Cyprinidae.